Molecule: transfer RNA, 128 nt
Organism: Ipomoea nil (Japanese morning glory)
Lineage: Eukaryota; Viridiplantae; Streptophyta; Magnoliopsida; Solanales; Convolvulaceae
Rfam family: tRNA
About the family: Transfer RNA (tRNA) molecules are approximately 80 nucleotides in length. Their secondary structure includes four short double-helical elements and three loops (D, anti-codon, and T loops).
Source: Rfam
GUCAAUAUGUCCGAGUAGUUAAGGAGAUAGACUUGAAAUUUAUUGGGCUUUGCCUGCGCAGGUUCGAAGGAGAUAGACUUGAAAUUUAUUGGGCUUUGCCUGCGCAGGUUCGAAUGCUGCUGUUGACG